ACGCAGGGAGCGAGCGUUGUCCGAAUUUACUGGGCGUAAAGCGCGCGUAGGCGGGUUAUUAAGUUGGGGGUGAAAUGCCGAGGCUUAACCUCGGAACUGCCUCCAAAACUGGUAGCCUUGAGGUAUGGAGAGGGAAGUGGAAUUCCAGGUGUAGCGGUGAAAUGCUAAGAUGCCGGGAGGAACACCCGUGGCGAAGGCGCCUUCCUGGCCAUAUCCUGACGCUGAGUUGCGAAAGCUAGGUGAGCGAACGG
Molecule: ribosomal RNA, 251 nt
Filed under: uncultured prokaryote
Description: partial 16S rRNA
Rfam family: Bacterial small subunit ribosomal RNA
Source: RNAcentral